UCAUUUGCUUUCAUGAAAAGUAUUACACUGAGAUUUUUGGUGACAAUGGCUCUCUAUGGUGUUUGUUUUGGUGCUGUUUAUAGAGUUGGUGACUCUAAUGGCUGGACUUCUAGAGGCCUUGUUGAUUACAAUGAGUGGGCUUCAACAAAAGACUUCCAUGUCAACGACACCCUCAUAUUUACUUACAACAAUCAAUUCCAUAAUGUGAUGCAAGUUACCAACCAAGAUUUCCAAUCUUGCAAUACAACCUCUGCUAUGGCAACCUACACCUCUGGCUCUGACACUGUCACCCUUAAUAGGUCCGGCCAUUUUUACUUUCUCUGUGGUACUCCUGGACAUUGCCAAGCCGGACAAAAUGUCGACAUCAACGUCACGCUGCCUAUAUCUGCAGAUGGAUCGUUUGCAAGCCCAAUCCUGGCACCUUAUGGAGCAUCGCCUUCUUCUGAAGUGGUGUUUCUAAGCAGUGCUUCUACUCUUCAUCUUUCGAAGCUUGAGUUCACCACUGUUGUGUUAUGUGUUUUGGGUUUUGUACUUUAG
RNAcentral lists this long non-coding RNA (537 nucleotides) under Prunus dulcis (almond). RNAcentral's name for it is "sRNA ncRNA". Lineage: Eukaryota; Viridiplantae; Streptophyta; Magnoliopsida; Rosales; Rosaceae. The record is from RNAcentral.